Molecule: ribosomal RNA, 657 nt
Filed under: uncultured archaeon
Lineage: Archaea
Description: bacterial SSU rRNA
Rfam family: Archaeal small subunit ribosomal RNA
Source: RNAcentral
CCGCCAUGGGACGGGACUGCUUCCGAUCAGGUAGUAGGUGGGGUAAUGGCCCACCUAGCCUCUGACCGGUACGGGCCGUGAGAGCGAUAGCCCGGAGAUGGAUACUGAGACAACGAUCCAGGCCCUACGGGGUGCAGCAGUCGCGAAACCUGGCCAAUGAGCGCAAGCUUGAGCCGGCUAAACCGAGUGGGGUCCUAACGGGUCCCUUUUAACGAGUGUUAGUAGCUCGUUGAAUAAGGAGAGGGCAAGACUGGUGCCAGCCGCCGCGGUAAAACCAGCUCUUCGAGUGGUGGGCGUGCUUACUGGGCCUAAAGCAUCCGUAGCCGGGUCUGCAAGUCCACAGUUAAAGCCCACGUCUUAAGCGUGGAAUCGCUGUGGAUACUACAGACCUUGGGAUCGGGAGAGGCGUGAGGUACGUUUCGGGUAGGGGUGAAAUCCGAUAAUCCGAAACGGACCACCGGUGGCGAAGGCGUCACGCUAGAACGAGUCCGACGGUCAGGGAUGAAAGCCAGGGGAGCGAGCCGGAUUAGAUACCCGGGUAGUCCUGGCUGUAAACGAUGCCCGCUAAGUGUUGCGCAUGGCACGACUAUGCGCAGUGCCGAAGGGAAGCCGCUAAGCGGGCCGCCUGGGGAGUACGGUCGCAAGACUGAAACUUAA